Molecule: long non-coding RNA, 395 nt
Organism: Pogoniulus pusillus (Red-fronted tinkerbird)
Lineage: Eukaryota; Metazoa; Chordata; Aves; Piciformes; Lybiidae
Exons: 2
Source: RefSeq, a predicted model, not a curated record
CUUGGCUCGCUUUCCAGGUGGGUCAAGCCAAACGCAGUGAGGGAAAACCUCACCCGCAGUGAGAUCCAAGAGUUUCCAGGAGAGUGAAUUCAGGGUGCUGGAGUGGCUGAAUUCAGGUAUGAUUCAGCUCCUGCAGGCGGUUCUUCACCUGAAGUUCCCCGUGAGGCUUGGGAGAUGAUGGCAGAGAAGGCUUCAGGAUUGCUUCGUGGUGUGUGCUCCUCCUGGGCUUGGAUAUUUAGCAUCUCUUUGGCUGUUAAGCACAAGCGAAAAACUUAAUAGCAAGGCAAGACCCCAAGAGUGCUGACACACAGCAGAGGUUAGCCACUCCUGGCACACAAACGAGGUUGCCUUUUCUUCCUAAUGGAAGUUGACUAUGUUAAAAACAUGUUUUUCUA